GAUUAACGCUGGCGGCGUGCAUAACACAUGCAAGUCGAACGAUGAAACUCAUUAGAUUUCUUCGGAAUGAAAAUGAAUGGAUUAGUGGCGAACGGGUGAUUAACGCGUGAGUAACCUGCCUUACACAAGGGGAUAGCCUCUGGAAACGGAGAAUAAUACCCUAUGAAACCAGACAAUCGCAUGAUAAUCUGGUCAAAAUGUUUAGUGGUGUAAGAUGGACUUGCGUCUGAUUAGCUAGUUGGUGAGAUAAAAGCUCACCAAGGCAACGAUCAGUAGCCGGCUUGAGAGAGUGUACGGCCACAUUGGGACUGAGACACGGCCCAGACUCCUACGGGAGGCAGCAGUGGGGAAUUUUGCACAAUGGGGGAAACCCUGAUGCAGCGACGCCGCGUGAUUUAGAAGGCCUUCGGGUUGUAAAAAUCUUUUGUAUAGGAAGAAAAUGACAGUACUAUACGAAUAAGGUCCGGCUAAUUACGUG
Molecule: ribosomal RNA, 478 nt
Filed under: uncultured bacterium
Lineage: Bacteria
Description: partial 16S ribosomal RNA
Rfam family: Bacterial small subunit ribosomal RNA
Source: RNAcentral